Molecule: ribosomal RNA, 464 nt
Filed under: uncultured bacterium
Lineage: Bacteria
Description: partial 16S ribosomal RNA
Rfam family: Bacterial small subunit ribosomal RNA
Source: RNAcentral
CCUACGGGAGGCAGCAGUAGGGAAUUUUCGUCAAUGGGCGCAAGCCUGAACGAGCGAUGCCGCGUGAGUGAAGAAGGCCUUCGGGUCGUAAAGCUCUGUUGCGGGGGAAAAAAGGCAGCAUCAGGAAAUGGGUGCUGACUGAUGGUGCCCCGCCAGAAAGUCAUGGCUAACUACGUGCCAGCAGCCGCGGUAAUACGUAGGUGGCGAGCGUUAUCCGGAAUGAUUGGGCGUAAAGGGUGCGCAGGCGGGCGUUCAAGUCAGCUGUAAAAUCGCGCGGCUCAACCGCGCCCCGCAGUUGAAACUGGACGCCUUGAGUUCACAACAGGCAGGCGGAAUUCGUGGUGUAGCGGUGAAAUGCAUAGAUAUCACGAGGAACCCCGAUUGCGAAGGCAGCCUGCCGGGGUGCGACUGACGCUGAGGCUCGAAGGUGCGGGUAUCAAACAGGAUUAGAUACCCUUGUAGUC